RNAcentral lists this ribosomal RNA (497 nucleotides) under uncultured bacterium. RNAcentral's name for it is "partial 16S ribosomal RNA". It matches the Rfam family "Bacterial small subunit ribosomal RNA", at positions 28 to 507 of the family's 1533-position model. The record is from RNAcentral.
GAUGAACGCUGGCGGCGUGCCUAAUACAUGCAAGUCGAGCGAAAGGACGAGACGCUUGCUUCUCUCAUGUUAGCGGAGGACGUGUGAGUCACACGUGGAUAACCUCCCUAUCAUUCUGGGAUCACUUCGGGAAACCGGAGCUAAUCCCGGAUAAUCUCUUGAUCCGCAUGGUUCAAUAGUGAAAGACGGUCUUGCUGUCACUUAUAGAUGGAUCCGCGCUGCAUUAGCUAGUUGGUAAGGUAACGGCUUACCAAGGCAACGAUGCCUGUACGACCUGUGAGAGGGGUCGCCGACACUGGAAGUGGGACACGGUCCUGACGCCUGCGAGAGGCAGCAGUAGGGAAUCGUCCGCAGGAGGGGGGAGCCUGACGGAACAACACGGAGUGAGUUAUGGAAGUCUUCGGAGCGGAAAACUCUGUUAUGGGGGAAGAACAUAUGUGGAAGGAGCUGUGCACUGCGUGACGGUAACUAAUCAAAAAGCCACGGCUAACUACGUG